RNAcentral lists this ribosomal RNA (253 nucleotides) under uncultured bacterium. RNAcentral describes it as "partial 16S ribosomal RNA". It matches the Rfam family "Bacterial small subunit ribosomal RNA", at positions 524 to 776 of the family's 1533-position model. The record is from RNAcentral.
UACGUAGGGUCCGAGCGUUGUUCGGAAUUACUGGGCGUAAAGCGCACGUAGGCGGCUGGGUCCGUCCGAUGUGAAAGCCCCCGGCUCAACCGGGGAAUUGCAUCGGAUACAGCCCGGCUUGAGGACGGUUGGGGUGAGUGGAACUCCUGGUGGAGCGGUGAAAUGCGUAGAUAUCAGGAGGAACACCGGUGGCGAAAGCGGCUCACUGGACCGUAACUGACGCUGAGGUGCGAAAGCUAGGGGAGCAAACGGG